RNAcentral lists this ribosomal RNA (103 nucleotides) under Pectobacterium polaris. The record is from RNAcentral. Lineage: Bacteria; Pseudomonadati; Pseudomonadota; Gammaproteobacteria; Enterobacterales; Pectobacteriaceae.
AUAGCGCGGUGGUCCCACCUGACCCCAUGCCGAACUCAGAAGUGAAACGCCGUAGCGCCGAUGGUAGUGUGGGGCUUCCCCAUGUGAGAGUAGGGAACUGCCA